Non-coding RNA from Penaeus vannamei (Pacific white shrimp), 342 nucleotides. NCBI's taxonomy places the organism in Eukaryota, Metazoa, Arthropoda, Malacostraca, Decapoda, Penaeidae. The record is from RefSeq and is a predicted model, not a curated record.
CUCUGUCACAGUAACUGGUAUCAGUACCUACCUCGGCUGAAGAUCUGGUAUCACUGUCACUCUGAGACCGGUUUGGUCCCUGAACCAGCGUAUGACCUGUAAGGGUUAAAUUGCCCUUGCUAUGCCUAAGUUUGACGACCUUCUUGCACACCUCGGGACUGGGAGAUGGAACCUGCUCUAUGCCGUCGCUAUGAGUUAUUGGGCACUGCAGGUUCCUUUCCACAGCAUGGGUGCGGCUUUCCUCACUCCACACCAAAAGUUCACCUGCGUCGCUUCAGACAUUCCUCAAAACAGGUAGACCAUUUCUGAAGCUUCAGUUAAAGAGGCAGUUUACAAGAUCUG